AUGCUAUGUAGUUAACAUGUUGUUCAAUAUGCUAUGUAGGUAACAUGUUGUUCAAUAUGUUGUCCAAUAUGCUAUGUAGUUAACAUGUUGUUCAACAUGUUGUCCAAUAUGCUAUGUAGGUAGCAUGUUGUUCAGUAUGUCUGGAUAGGUUCUGGUCUGGAUAGGUUCUGGUCUGGAGAAGCUCUGGUCUGGAGAGGUUCUGGUCUGGAUAGGUUCUGGUCUGGAUAUGUUCUGGUCUGGAUAGGUUCUGGUCUGGAGAGGUUCUGGUCUGGAUAGGUUCUGGUCUGGAUAGGUUCUGGUCUGGUCUGGAUAGGUUCUGGUCUGAAAAGGUUCUGGUCUGGAUAGGUUCUUGUCUGGAUAGGCUCUGGUCUGGAUAGGUUCUUGUCUGGAU
RNAcentral lists this long non-coding RNA (391 nucleotides) under Salmo salar (Atlantic salmon). RNAcentral describes it as "lncRNA (ENSSSAG00000118146.1)". The record is from RNAcentral. Lineage: Eukaryota; Metazoa; Chordata; Actinopteri; Salmoniformes; Salmonidae.